AGUGAACGCUGGCGGUAGGCCUAACACAUGCAAGUCGAACGGCAGCACAGUAAGAGCUUGCUCUUACGGGUGGCGAGUGGUGGACGGGUGAGGAAUACAUCGGAAUCUACUUUUUCGUGGGGGAUAACGUAGGGAAACUUACGCUAAUACCGCAUACGACCUACGGGUGAAAGCAGGGGAUCUUCGGACCUUGCGCGAUUGAAUGAGCCGAUGUCGGAUUAGCUAGUUGGCGGGGUAAAGGCCCACCAAGGCGACGAUCCGUAGCUGGUCUGAGAGGAUGGUCAGCCACACUGGAACUGAGACACGGUCCAGACUCCUACGGGAGGCAGCAGUGGGGAAUAUUGGACAAUGGGCGCAAGCCUGAUCCAGCCAUACCGCGUGGGUGAAGAAGGCCUUCGGGUUGUAAAGCCCUUUUGUUGGGAAAGAAAAGCAGCAGGUUAAUACCCCGCUGUUCUGACGGUACCCAAAGAAUAAGCACCGGCUAACUUCGUG
RNAcentral lists this ribosomal RNA (492 nucleotides) under uncultured bacterium. RNAcentral describes it as "partial 16S ribosomal RNA". It matches the Rfam family "Bacterial small subunit ribosomal RNA", at positions 29 to 507 of the family's 1533-position model. The record is from RNAcentral.